Molecule: ribosomal RNA, 361 nt
Filed under: uncultured soil bacterium
Lineage: Bacteria
Description: bacterial SSU rRNA
Rfam family: Bacterial small subunit ribosomal RNA
Source: RNAcentral
AGAUUGAACGCUGGCGGCAUGCCUUACACAUGCAAGUCGAACGGCAGCACGGGAGCAAUCCUGGUGGCGAGUGGCGAACGGGUGAGUAAUACAUCGGAACGUGCCCAAUCGUGGGGGAUAACGCAGCGAAAGCUGUGCUAAUACCGCAUAAGAUCUACGGAUGAAAGCAGGGGAUCGCAAGACCUUGCGCGAAUGGAGCGGCCGAUGGCAGAUUAGGUAGUUGGUGAGGUAAAGGCUCACCAAGCCUUCGAUCUGUAGCUGGUCUGAGAGGACGACCAGCCACACUGGGACUGAGACACGGCCCAGACUCCUACGGGAGGCAGCAGUGGGGAAUUUUGGACAAGUGGGACGAAAGCCUGAC